RNAcentral lists this ribosomal RNA (497 nucleotides) under uncultured bacterium. RNAcentral describes it as "partial 16S ribosomal RNA". It matches the Rfam family "Bacterial small subunit ribosomal RNA", at positions 28 to 507 of the family's 1533-position model. The record is from RNAcentral.
GAUGAACGCUGGCGGCGUGCCUAAUACAUGCAAGUCGAGCGAACAGACGAGGAGCUUGCUCCUCUGACGUUAGCGGCGGACGGGUGAGUAACACGUGGAUAACCUACCUAUAAGACUGGGAUAACUUCGGGAAACCGGAGCUAAUACCGGAUAACAUGUUGAACCGCAUGGUUCAACAGUGAAGGACGGUCUUGCUGUCACUUAUAGAUGGAUCCGCGCCGCAUUAGCUAGUUGGUAAGGUAACGGCUUACCAAGGCAACGAUGCGUAGCCGACCUGAUAGGGUGAUCGGCCACACUGGAACUGAGACACGGUCCAGACUCCUACGGGAGGCAGCAGUAGGGAAUAUUCCGCAAUGGGCGAAAUCCUGACGGAGCAACGCCGCGUGAGUGAAGAAGGUCUUCGGAUCGUAAAACUCUGUUAUUAGGGAAGAACAAAUGUGUAAGUAACUAUGCACGUCUUGACGGUACCUAAUCAGAAAGCCACGGCUAACUACGUG